GUGAGAUGUCUUUUGUGUGUGUAGAAUGUGAGCUAAAGCAUGCGGAACCAUGAGGUCGGAAUAUCCUACUAAACCUCUAGAGGCUGUAACUGCCUUCUCUGCAGCUGCUACAGCUCUGAGGCAGAGGGGCAGGCCUGCUGCUACUGGAUCCAGUUUUGUAGAAGAAAAACAAGCAACAGGUAUGCGUUUAUCCCCAUGUUUCUGACACAGGACAGAGGUCGCGUAUCCACCCCUUUGGUCGACAAAUUGGACCAAUGGCUUGUUUGGAUUUGGUGUAGCUACGCCCCUGGAAGGUGAAUGCCAACCAACAUUCACACUCAGGAUGGACGGGCAUGGAGAAAAAUGCAUUCGCCAAAUCAACUACUGGACAAAAUGGUUCCUUGCUCUUCCUGAUGUGUCACCAGACUGAUUGUCUUCCUGAUUCCUGAUUGUGUCCACCUGUUCCCGCUUCCCCAUGUGUUCAUAUAGUCUGCGUCUCCCUUUGUCUUGUGCCAGUGUGUCGUCCUACGUCGUCAUACCAGCCAGUGUCCAAGAUCCAUAGUCAUAGUUUCUCUAGUCUCGUGACCACAGUUUUACCUCGUUCGAGUGAUUUUUCUUUGUAGCUCUUUUUUGUUCCAGCGUCAGGUCUCAGUUAGGUUUAGAUAAGUAGCUUUGUUUUCCUCCUUUUGGAGUGACCUUCUUUUUGGAUCUAUUAGUACUCUGUACUAUGAAUAAACUGUCAUCCUAUACACCUGCUCUGCGUCUGAGUCCCGCUCGGUUCUGAC
This is a long non-coding RNA of Gasterosteus aculeatus aculeatus (three-spined stickleback), 764 nucleotides long. NCBI's taxonomy places the organism in Eukaryota, Metazoa, Chordata, Actinopteri, Perciformes, Gasterosteidae. The record is from Ensembl.